RNAcentral lists this ribosomal RNA (253 nucleotides) under uncultured bacterium. RNAcentral's name for it is "partial 16S ribosomal RNA". It matches the Rfam family "Bacterial small subunit ribosomal RNA", at positions 524 to 776 of the family's 1533-position model. The record is from RNAcentral.
UACGUAGGUGACAAGCGUUGUCCGGAUUUACUGGGCGUAAAGAGCGCGCAGGCGGUCGAUCAAGUCGAGUGUGAAAGCCCCCGGCUCAACUGGGGAGGGUCACUCGAUACUGAUCGACUUGAAGGCAGGAGAGGGAAGCGGAAUUCCCGGUGUAGUGGUGAAAUGCGUAGAUAUCGGGAGGAACACCAGUGGCGAAGGCGGCUUCCUGGCCUGUUCUUGACGCUGAGGCGCGAAAGCUAGGGGAGCAAACGGG